Long non-coding RNA from Dama dama (fallow deer), 1271 nucleotides. RefSeq lists it as uncharacterized. The record is from RefSeq and is a predicted model, not a curated record. Lineage: Eukaryota; Metazoa; Chordata; Mammalia; Artiodactyla; Cervidae. The transcript is spliced from 3 exons.
GGUUCUACGGCCCCGUAAGGGAGACCAUUUGGUCGGGAUUCAUCAACGCUGAUUUUAGUAACCCUAAGCCGGACUGUUUAGUGGAAACUUCGGCUUUGGGGAACUGGUCCAUACUUAGGGGACUGAUGAUGACGCCCAGAUCUUUGCGUUUAGGUAGUUAAAAUACAAUAAAGAAGACCUGUCAAGAGAGAAUGGAGUGCGGGAGGAAAAUCUAGGGGAGGCGGCCGCUGCAAAAGCUUCAUUCGGUGAGGUCUGGACUUAGACCACGAAGGAGACUGGUUCCCGGCCUUCACGCUGCAGAGAGCGUGGUUUCUCUUGUUGACAGACAAGACUGCACAUACCCAGCACUCGUCCCCGGGCUGCUUUUCCAUUCUCAAACGUCAGCAGUCCCAUCAGGGAUUAAAUAUUCUUAGGGCUGGAGAUUUGGACUCAAAUACUACAGCAUACGCUUACUACCACCCAUGCCUCCGUCCCAUGUAAACUUGGCAAGAGUAACAAAAAAAAAAAAAAAAAAAAAAACACACCACGUACACACAAACAAAACUUUAUCUGCCUUAUCCAUUUGUGUGCUUAUUGCCAGAGGCCAAAUGCGUCAUUUGCCCGACUUGAAAGGGUUUAAGUGGGGAACAGUUUUUUCUUAGAAGCAUUUUGUUCCUUUUGGAGUUCAGGUGCUUAGAUAGUCUACCCUUUCCCAUCUAAGAGGAUGCCCUGAAAUGGAAACAGACAUGGCAGCCCCCUGCAGUAUUCUUGCCUGGAGAAUCCCAUGGAAAGAAGAGCCCGGCGGGCUGCAGCCCAUGGGGUCACAGAGUCGGGACUGAAGCGACUGAGCAUAUACACGAGCAGUUUGAUACAGGGCUCUCGGUUCAUCCACCUCACUAUACCUAACCCUGAAUAUUCAUUGGAAGGACCAAUGCUGAAGCUGAAGCUCCAAUACUUUGGCCACCUGAUGCAAAGAGAUGACUCAUUGGAAAAGACCUGAUGCUGGGAAAGAUUGAAGGCAAAAGGAAAACAGGGUGGCAGAGAAUGACAUGAUUGGAGACUCAGCACACCCCCUAGGCCUGACUUCUCAUCUCUUCCAAAUCUGCAUGAAGUGCAUCUCUGCUAGUCUGAGCCCUGCCAUUGCUGAGCUGCCUGGGAGCUAUAGGAAAACAUCAUUAACUCAAUCUGUGUUAACCUGAAACUCUGAAAAUAAAAAUAGCAUCUAGGAGGCCACUUCCCGAGCUUUCUGUUAUUUCAUAUAAAGAUUUUAUUUUUCCUUAAGCUACUGUUAC